CAAAGGUGGUGGAAUCACUUGGUGUUACUGCUGAAAUCACACCAUAGAAUCACAGAACUGUUGACUGGAGGGACCAUUUUUGGACACAUGCUAUAACCAUUGGUUGCCCUACAGGCUAUGGGAAGAUUACUGACGGCUCAUUGACAAGAACUGGAAUAUGCAACCUGCAUACAAGGACGUUUUGAUAUCUUUGUCCUGGUGAAGUGAGGAGUCUGGAAUUAAACUACAUGUAAUACACACCAGGGCAUAGGACAGCACUCAGUCUUGUGUGUUGGUGCUCACCGCACCUUACCAUUUAAAGGAUCUCCCUGCUCAGCACUGUGAAAAGACCCACAUCAGCCUGCUGGGCAGACAUUU
RNAcentral lists this long non-coding RNA (357 nucleotides) under Gallus gallus (chicken). RNAcentral's name for it is "lncRNA (ENSGALG00010026773.1)". Lineage: Eukaryota; Metazoa; Chordata; Aves; Galliformes; Phasianidae. The record is from RNAcentral.